This 252-nucleotide ribosomal RNA is filed under the name uncultured bacterium. RNAcentral's name for it is "partial 16S ribosomal RNA". It matches the Rfam family "Bacterial small subunit ribosomal RNA", at positions 524 to 776 of the family's 1533-position model. The record is from RNAcentral.
UACGUAGGGUGCGAGCGUUAAUCGGAAUUACUGGGCGUAAGCGUGCGCAGGCGGUUUUGUAAGCCAGAUGUGAAAGCCCCGGGCUUAACCUGGGAAUGGCAUUUGGGACUGCAAGGCUAGAGUGUGGCAGAGGAGACUGGAAUUCCUGGUGUAGCAGUGAAAUGCGUAGAUAUCAGGAGGAAUACCGAUGGCGAAGGCAGGUCUCUGGGUUAACACUGACGCUCAUGCACGAAAGCGUGGGGAGCAAACAGG